Molecule: transfer RNA, 85 nt
Filed under: bacterium
Lineage: Bacteria
Also listed under: 1 other name
Description: tRNA-Tyr
Rfam family: tRNA
About the family: Transfer RNA (tRNA) molecules are approximately 80 nucleotides in length. Their secondary structure includes four short double-helical elements and three loops (D, anti-codon, and T loops). Further hydrogen bonds mediate the characteristic L-shaped molecular structure. tRNAs have two regions of fundamental functional importance: the anti-codon, which is responsible for specific mRNA codon recognition, and the 3' end, to which the tRNAs corresponding amino acid is attached (by aminoacyl-tRNA synthetases). tRNAs cope with the degeneracy of the genetic code in two manners: having more than one tRNA (with a specific anti-codon) for a particular amino acid; and 'wobble' base-pairing, i.e. permitting non-standard base-pairing at the 3rd anti-codon position.
Source: RNAcentral
GGAGGGAUACCCAAGUGGCCAAAGGGAUCUGACUGUAAAUCAGACGGCUCUGCCUUCGUAGGUUCGAAUCCUACUCCCUCCACCA